RNAcentral lists this small nucleolar RNA (209 nucleotides) under Dasypus novemcinctus (nine-banded armadillo). RNAcentral describes it as "Small nucleolar RNA U3 (ENSDNOG00000046668.1)". It matches the Rfam family "Small nucleolar RNA U3". From Rfam's summary of the family: Small nucleolar RNAs (snoRNAs) are involved in the processing and modification of rRNA in the nucleolus. The record is from RNAcentral. Lineage: Eukaryota; Metazoa; Chordata; Mammalia; Cingulata; Dasypodidae.
CUAAGACUACUUACAAGGAUCAUUUCCACAGUUCAUUAACAGAGAAGGUUCUCUGAAUGUGUAGCACACUGGAAGCCACAAGCAGGAGGGACAGUCCUGAAUGUGACGCUGGCUCUUGGAGUUGCUUUGCUGCAACUGCCACUUGCAUUGUUGAUCAUUCUUCUUUUCCUUUUGGGAGAGCAAGAGGGAGACGGCACAGUCUGCAUGGU